Monodelphis domestica (gray short-tailed opossum) is the source of this 2427-nucleotide long non-coding RNA. The record is from Ensembl. NCBI's taxonomy places the organism in Eukaryota, Metazoa, Chordata, Mammalia, Didelphimorphia, Didelphidae.
UGCCUUUGGUUCCGACUUGUCUGUAUCCUGCAGAAUAGACAGAUCAACCUGCUAGAGAAGGAAACGGAGAGAGAGAAGGAGGGAGAGAGAGAGACAGAGAGACAGAGACCGGGGAGGGAGGGGCGAGAGAAGGAGAGAGUUUUGAAGUCCCCCUGGCUUUGAGUUUCCCGUCCCUGGACAGGCAAAGGGAAGGGUCAGGCACCUGCCCUCAGCUCCUAGGGGACUCUCAGGAGCAUCCUUGUCUGCCUAGAUCUGCUGUGGCGAAGAGCUUCACUGGACCUGAGCCUCCGGAUGAGGAUACUGAGGCUCAGCAAGAGAAGGUGAUUUCUUCAAGUUAAAGUUGGGAUUUGGACCUCAAUUUCCCAACUUCAAGUCAAGUGCUCUUCCUAUGUGAUAUUCCUAUCACACAGGAUAACCAAAAUUGUGGUUAUGGGGUGUAGAAGGCUGCCUGUCCCACAAUAGCAAAUUUAUCAAAUUUACAUGUGACAAUCACCCUAGGAAGGCAAUUUAUUAUGAAGGAUACCAUAAUUUAAAUCCAGGUAGAUUUCAGCAGACUAGAACAGUGGGAUGCAUUUAAAUAAGUCAAAUUUAAUGGAGGUAAAGAUGAAGACCUGAUCUCAGGAAAAAGAGGCAACGGUCAACAGUUUUCCUGAAAAAUAUUUGAGGAUUUUGCUGGAGCAAUGGGCACAGAAAAGACAAGAAUAGGGAAUAGAGUGGGAUUACAGAGAGACUGGUUUUUAUUUUUGUAGUAAGAACUUUUUAAAAAUUAGAACCAUUCAAUACUAAGAUGGGCUGCCCUGAACACCCCAUCACUGGUGGUGUCUAAGCAGGGACUGGAUGAUUAUUUGUUGAUGAUGUUAAGAAGAGGAUUUCUUCAUUGAUUGACCAAGUUGGAUGUUUUCUAAGAUCCUUUCCAAUUCUAAUAUGACUUUAGGUCACAGACUAUGGUUUUUCUAGUUAGGACAUGUGGUUUAGAAACAGAACUAAAUUCAGUCUGGAGGACUGGGUUAGACUGUGACAUAGCAGCUGUGUGAACUUUGUAAGCCAUCCAUCAAGUAGGACUAGGGUUAGGCUGGACUACCAUUUCUUAGGAAUAUUAGAUAAGGUUUUCUAAGUCAGGUACAGAUUGAACUAUAGGGCAUCUAAGGUCCCUUUCAGAGGUUGGAUUCUAUAAUUCUAUGGCUUUUUGGUAUAGUAGAGAAAAGUGGGUAAACCCCCCUCCUCUUACCUAAGGCUGAGAUUAAGGUAUCCCUGAUUUCUGUUCAUACACAUUCAGCCCCUUCUAGGUCCAAUAAUGUGAACAUGUGAACCAUCAUUUGUUAGGUAAUGAGACAAACUGUGGGAGAUAGUUGUGAACUUAUGGUUGAAUUAACAACUGGAUGAGCAAAUGACAGUGGCACCUAAUUGCUAUAGGAAUUAAAGGAUUUAGGAACUAAUGACGAAGGUAACAUGGCUUUGAGAGCUAUAGAAUAUGGGAGCAAUAGACUGCUAAAGUUAAUGGCUAAGUGAGUGUAGGCACUAAAGGCUUUGGAAGCUAAUGACUAUAAGAACUAAUGGCUAUAGGAGCUAAUAAUUAUGAGUCUGAUGAACCAGAGUGGCUACUAGAGUUGGAUACCACAGGUUUUCCAUCUCAGAGAUCAGGAGAGUGAGAGUCCAGGGAGCCAAUCCUCCCUAGCAACUCAAACAAUAUCAGAGAAAGAAGAGGUUAGUGUCUCCCUCCAGUUUUAAGAUUACUUAGGUGGGUACAGUAGGAACUUGUUUUUAGUAACCAAUACAAUCUAAGAUCCUUUGUGGAAGUUGAAAAUUGCACAUGAUAGGUGGCAAAGAACUGGAAAUUGAAGUGAUAUCAAUCAAUUAGAGAAUAGCUGAACAAAUUGGGGUAUAUGAUGGUGAUGGAAUACCAUCAUGCUAUAAGAAACUAUGAGCAAGAUGAUUUCAGAAAAAAAGCUGGAAAGACCUAUGUAAACUGAUACAAAGCAAAAUAAGCAGAACCAAGAGAACAUUGUACACAGUAGCAGCAAUACUGUAUAAUGAUCAGUUGUGAAAGACUCAGCUACUCUCAGUAAUACCAUGAUCCAGGGCAUUUCUGAAGGCUUUAUGACAAAGAAUGAUAUCCAUCUCUGGAGUAAGAAUUGUUGAAGUCGGAAUGCAGAUCAAAGCAUACCAUUUUUCACAAUAGUUUAUGUUUUCACUUGGGGGUUUUGGUUUUAUACAAGUAUUCUCUUAAAACAAUGACCAACAUGGAAGUUUGUUUUACAUGAUAAUACAUAUAUAAUCCAGAUCAAAUUGUUUACCAUCUCUGGGAGAGGGCAGGGAAGGGAGACAGGAAGACAAUUUGGAUUUUAUAAUUUUGGAAAACAUAUGCUGAAAGUUAUUACAUGUAACUAAGAAAAUAAAAUAUCUUUACAAAAAAAGAAAAGAAAAUCA